GACGAACGCUGGCGGCGUGCCUAAUACAUGAAAGUAGAACGCAGUUGCGAACGGGUGAGUAACGCGUAGGUAAUUGCCUCAUAGCGGGGGAUAACUAUUGGAAACGAUAGCUAAUACCGCAUACUGUGAGAUGGACCUGCGUUGUAUUAGCUAGUUGGUGAGGUAAAGGCUCACCAAGGCGACGAUACAUAGCCGACCUGAGAGGUUCCUCUUCCCCUCUGGGACUGAGACACGGCCCAUACUCCUACUGUCUCCUCCCGUCUCCCUUCUUCUACCCUCACCUUAAGUCUUACCUUUCAACGCCGCGUGAGUGAAGCAUCUUUUCUUAUCAUCCCUCUCUGUUGUUAGAGAAGCGGUAACUAACCAGAAAGGGACGGCUAACUACGUGCCAGCAGCCGCGGUAAUAC
RNAcentral lists this ribosomal RNA (407 nucleotides) under uncultured bacterium. Its description in RNAcentral is "partial 16S ribosomal RNA". It matches the Rfam family "Bacterial small subunit ribosomal RNA", at positions 28 to 526 of the family's 1533-position model. The record is from RNAcentral.